This is a non-coding RNA of Ornithorhynchus anatinus (platypus), 138 nucleotides long. The record is from Rfam. Lineage: Eukaryota; Metazoa; Chordata; Mammalia; Monotremata; Ornithorhynchidae.
CCCCUCUCGGGGUCGCACCUGGAGAGUUUCUGGUACUUUACCAGUCUUGACUACAGGAGGGAGAGUCAAGCAGAGGCAUAUCCAUUCCACUUCUAGCUUGGGCAGUGACUGGAGAGUGGAAGACCAUCUGCUACAAGU